ACCCUGGAAAUGACUCAGUCGGAGGUAGGGUCCAGCGGCUGGAAGAGCACCGCACGUCGCGCUGUGUCUGGUGCGCCCCCAGUAGCCCUUGAAAAUUCGGAGGACCGAGUGCCUCCCACGGCCAGUCGUACUCAUAACCGCAUCAGGACUCCAAGGUGCUGGUCAAUGGAACAAUGUAGGCAAGGGAAGUCGGUAAAAUGGAUCCGUAACCUCGAGAAAAGGAUUGGUUCUGAGGGCUAGGUACGAGGGUCCCAGUCCCGAACCCGUCGGCUUUCGGCGGACUGCUCGAGCUACUCUCGUGGCGAGAGCGGGUCGCCGCGUACCAGCCGGAGGACGGACUUGGAACGGCCCUUUCUGGGACUUCCCGGGCGUCAAACAGUCGACUCAGAACUGUUACGGACAAGGGUAAUUCGACUGUUUAAUUAAAACAAAGCAUUGCGAUGGUCCCUGAGGAUGCUAACGCAAUAUGAUUUCUUCCCAGUGCUCUAAAUGUCAAAGUGAAAUUCAACCAAGCGUGGGUAAACGACGGGAGUAAUUAUGACUCUCUUAAGGAAGCCAAAUGCCUCGUCAUCUAAUUAGUGACGUGCACGAAUGGAUUAACGAGAUUCCCACUGUCCCUAUCAACUAUCCAGCGAAACCACAACCAAGGGAACGGGCUUGGCAGAAUCAACAAGGAAAGUACCCUGUUGAGCUUGACUCUAGUCCGACUUUGUGAAAUGACUUGAGAGGUGCAGGAUAAGUGGGAGCCAGAAACGGCGACUGUGAAAUACCACUACUUUUAACGUUAUUUUACUUAUUCCAUGAAUUGGAGGCGGGGUAUCGCCCCUCUUUUUGGACCCAAAGUCGCUUCGGCGGCCGAUCCCAGCGGAAGACAUUGUCAGGUGGGGAGUUUGGCUGGGGCGGCAUAUAUGUUAAAAGAUAACGCAUGUGUCCUAAGUUGAGCUCAACAAGAAUAGAAAUCUCGUGUGGAACACAAGGGUAAAAGCUCGUUUGAUUCUGAUUUCCAGUACGAAUACGAACCAUGAAAGCGUGGCCUAUCGAUCCUUUAGACCUUCGAAAUUUGAAGCUAGAGGUGUCAGAAAAGUUACCACAGGGAUAAAUGGCUUCUGGAAGCCAAGCGUUUAUAGCAACGUUGCUUUUUGAUCCUUCGAUUUCGGCUCUUCCUAUCAUUGUGAAGUAGAAGUCACCAAGUGUUGGAUUGUUCACCCACCAAUAGGGAACGUGAGCUAAGUUUAGACCGUCGUGAGACAGGUUAGUUUUACCAUAUUGAUGACAGUGUUGCAAUGGUAAUUCAACCUAGUACGAAAGGAACCGUUGAUUUGCACAAUUGGUCAUCGCGCUUGGUUGAAAAGCUAGUGGCGCGAAGCUACCGUGCGCUGGAUUAUGACUAAACGCCUCCAAGUCAAAAUUCGGGCCAGAAGCGAUGCAAAAUACUUAAAAAUCAUCUUUAUUAAAAUUUCCUUUUACUUUU
Molecule: ribosomal RNA, 1471 nt
Filed under: Euphorbia esula (leafy spurge)
Lineage: Eukaryota; Viridiplantae; Streptophyta; Magnoliopsida; Malpighiales; Euphorbiaceae
Description: eukaryotic LSU rRNA
Rfam family: Eukaryotic large subunit ribosomal RNA
Source: RNAcentral